AUUGAACGCCGGCGGCAUGCCUUACACAUGCAAGUCGAACGGCAGCACGGGAGCAAUCCUGGUGGCGAGUGGCGAACGGGUGAGUAAAGUAUCGGAACGUGCCCAGUCGUGGGGGAUAACGUAGCGAAAGUUACGCUAAUACCGCAUACGAUCUAUGGAUGAAAGCGGGGGAUCGCAAGACCUCGCGCGAUUGGAGCGGCCGAUAUCAGAUUAGGUAGUUGGUGGGGUAAAGGCCCACCAAGCCGACGAUCUGUAGCUGGUCUGAGAGGACGACCAGCCACACUGGGACUGAGACACGGGCCAGACUCCUACGGGAGGCAGCAGUGGGGAAUUUUGGACAAUGGGCGAAAGCCUGAUCCAGCCAUGCCGCGUGCAGGAUGAAGGCCUUCGGGUUGUAAACUGCUUUUGUACGGAACGAAAAGGUUUGGCCUAAUAAGCUGAGCUCAUGACGGUACCGUAAGAAUAAGCACCGGCUAACUACGUGCCAGCCGCCGCGGUAA
RNAcentral lists this ribosomal RNA (500 nucleotides) under uncultured bacterium. Its description in RNAcentral is "partial 16S ribosomal RNA". It matches the Rfam family "Bacterial small subunit ribosomal RNA", at positions 30 to 523 of the family's 1533-position model. The record is from RNAcentral.